CCACCAUUGAUUUUCAUUACCAUAAUAUUGCUGAACAUAAUAAUGAAUAGUCCAUUUAUAUACAAAACAGCCAUUACUAUGAAAGAUGUGAAUAACAACAAUGAUCUACUGCUACAACAGCUAGAGCAAAUAUUUAAUGACGAUAUUAUUUCUUCUGUUGUGCUUCCAGAUUCAACAUAAUUUUUAUACAGGUUUCUUUCUAUAGGUUAAAAUCAUUUGCUCUCUCUCCUUGGCUAAUAAAGCAUUGUUGUAAAGAAUUUUUCAAGUAAAAAACCAAUCCAUGAAAGGGGCAAUGAACAAAGAGUUAUGGUGCAUAGACCAUACGAUCACAUAAGAUUACUUAGAAGCCUAAUGACAAAUUACCUAAAAUGGAAACUCUUCAAGUCAGAAAAAAUAGAGUUUAGGUAAUACCACCAAUAUAUUUUUAUGAAUCGAAAAUUAGAUCUUCUUAAAAGCCUAAACCAAUUGAAUCCUUUUUCAUGUUGACAUCUGCUUGCCACAUUUAAGAAGGAAAGCUUACAGCUCAAAUGCAUCUAGUAAUCACCAUUUCCAUGGCAAAGCCACAUCAACAACAUAUAGAGAAUUUCAAAAAGAUGAACAAGCCUAUCAGACGAUGACCAAGUUGGUCCAGAAGGCUUUAGUCCAAAGACACGCUGAACCAAUAGACAGAAAUUCAUAGGCCACAGUAAAGUAUUUUGAUUAGGAAAUUCGAAACUUACAAUCAUAAAAUUGAAAACACAACUGAUUUAGUUAGAAAUUCUAUGCUAAUUGGCUACUUCACAUUAAUUUGCCAAUGAUGGUACAAUUGAAAAUAAGAACACAAUAUGAGGCUAAUCUAUAUGUGCUAGACAAAUCAAAUAGAUUCAGCAACAACAAUACUAACAGCCAGACUAGUGCUCAGUGAGUCAUCAUUAGACUUAAGCCUACCAUUGAUAGGCACAAUGAACUCAAUAAAGCAUGGCUACCAUUCAUAGCAUUCAUUCAAGAAGCAAAAGAACAUUUAUGAAAAAUAAAUGCAUCGUGUAUGUCAAAGAUGAAAACUUAGGGAUUCUAGAGAUUCUAGCAGGACUUUCAUAGAACAAACCUGAAGUAUAUCCUUAACAUCCUCCCUAGUAAGUUUAUGCUGCUUCAAUAAUAGUUCAAUUCUUGCUCUCAUUCGAGAGUGCCUUCACAAAAAUCCGAAUCACAGAAAAGAGUCAUGACCACAAAAAGACAAAGUCACAAAUAGAACUCUGAUGAAUAGGUAAUUAUAUUAUAAAUGGUGGGACACAUACUCCGAGCACCAAAGAUGACCCAGAAUAACCGCUAUCAACUGCAGAUUCAUACAAAAUAAUGUUAGGAAAAGAAAACUUCUGAUAGCAUAAAGGCACUUAAAAACCAAAUGCUUGAAUUUCAAAUCGAAAUAAAGCCCUAUCUUCUAAACUUCUCCAAAUUAGCAUGAAAUUUUUAUGUAAUUUAUGGUUUUGAGACAGAGCAGUACAAUCUAGGGUUUAGGAAUAACAAAUCAAUGGUUUAACCAAAGUUGCAUUCAAGGAUUCAGGAUUAUACCAGUGAAAUCAAAGGAAAGCAAGGAGACACAAUACCCUUCCCUAACUCACUGGUGGGCCUGUAGUAUUCAGCACUUCCCUUUAGUGCCUCAUAAGCAAAGAUGCCAAAGUUGUGCACCUUCCAAUGACCGUUGCCUUUAGUGCCUCACAAGCAUAAUGUCGAAGUUCUUCAAGCUAAAAUGUUAACUUCAUUAGGCGUUCACUUCUGGCACCUCACACUUGUGCUUUAUACGUUGAAACUUAGAUAACUCCUUUGACUGUUUUUUAGUCAAAUCUAUAACUGGAUAAUGCUCUUAGUUUUCCUUUUCCUUUAAUAAUUCAAUUCAAUUAUGUUUAUAAGAAUACAUGUUCAUCCAGAGAUAUCUCAUUCUAGAAUCAUAUAAAUAGGGUUGUAAUUUCUGUUCUUAAGUAGUUGAGAUUUUAGGUUUCAAGAACUAGCGUAAGUUAAUCUUCUCAUGGUGUUUGGGAAUGUUUCACAAAUAUAUAAACCUUUCAUUGCAGUAUGAGAGCCUAAAAUCCGUAUGGGAUUUUGUUGCAUUAUUGUUACCAUGGUCCAAACUCCAAAAAGAAGAAUAUCAAUGCUUUGAGCAUUGAAAAUUGACAAUGACUGUUGAAACUACAUACUGGUUGAUGUACAACUUCCUACAACUGCAUUAUAAAGCCUACAAAAUAAGCAAGUCCACUUAUAAUACUAACCAAUUUUAAUGGCCAAAACUGACAGGAAAUCAGCAGUACAAAACCUAACCUGAAGAGUGUAGAGUCCAGAUUCCAGUCUUCGAUUGUAUCUUUCCUCUUCAUCUAUCUCUAAAUCAUCGAGCUCAAGCUGGUCCAUCCGUUCAGUCUCUACUUUUACUCUAUCUGAAUAUCUGAUAUAGAGCUCCAUAAGGCGGUCUAUCUUCUCACAUUCAUUUUCCACAAAUUUACUUAGCAAUCUGUCCCUUCUAGAACCUCUCAAUAUUCCACCAAAUAAUGAAGCAAUUAGGGAUACAAUGCGUUCUUCUAACUCCUCUUGGUAUCGUUCUUUCUUGUUCUUCUUGCUCGUGGGGAUCUUACCCAUGAAAGCUGCAAACGCUGUCUUCAAGCCCAAAACAUCCACAAACCGUUCACAUGCUGGUGGGUACUUGGUCAUGGCAAAAUCAAGUGCCCUUAUGGCAGACCCAUAAGCAGAUUUCUUCUGCUUCAUAAUAAUAAUCAUCAACUCCACUCCCUCAGCCUUUACAAACCUCUCUUUGUUUUCCAAUGGCAUCAACAAACAACACAAACAAUCGAAGAGAUUCUCUACCAUUUCCUCCUCAUCGGAGCUCUUGGGGUCCUUAGACUUGUACAUUGCCACAGCCUGCAAAACCACAUCCACACCAUUCAUCUGCCCCAACUUCUUCUGGUUCGCAGUGCUGUUCUGCAACAAAAUCGCCAAUAUCUCCGAGGCAUACUGCUUGUUGCUAUCGAACUCCCUCACCUUUAUCUUCCCUAACAACCACCGGAGUAUCUUGGUUCUUUCACACACCAAUUCCGCAACCGCCGGCUUCACCUCUAUCAGAUUCUCGAUCGUCGCAAGCGAAUUAUACACAGCAGACAUCUCAUCAGGGUCCGUGUCCGACAAUCUCUGCAAAUUCUGAACCAGCAACUCCAAGACAUUGUUUUCUAUAAGGGCAUCAACAAGAACACGCGCAGGCUCAUCGUUAUCCUCAAGAACAUCCUCGUCGGUGAGGUCCUGAAGCAACUGGACGACGUCAAUAGCUAUAUCAGUGUUAUCAUGAGAAAGGAGCCCGAUAAUAGAAGGAAUAGUGUUAAGAUUGACGAGGUCUGGAUAAAGCUCGGGCCCUCCGGCGAGGAUUUUGAGCUUUUGGAGCUCUUGGUGGAGCUCGAUCUCGGAGUCGGCGAAGCGUUCAGGCUGGUCAGGGUACUUGAGGCGGGCCUCGAUGUUCUCUUUGUAACGGCGCUCGAAGGAGAGGACAAGCUUCUUCAGAGUACGAAGGUCGAGCACUUCGACAGCGCUUUCCUUUUGGGAUUUUUCGACAGCUUCCAAGAUGGAGAGGUCGAAGUUGUCGCUAUCGUUAUCUUUAGAAGGGAUGCCGUUGGCCGCAGGGAGCGGCGGAGAAGAGUCGCCGCGCUUGCGUUUGGGGUUGUAGCUGCGAGCGUUGGCCACUUCCAUUUCUGUGCCCUAUGGUGUCGCGAUCAGUCCCUAGAGACUAAUGUUGGUUUAAUCAGCCGACUGACG
Molecule: unclassified non-coding RNA, 3765 nt
Filed under: Hevea brasiliensis (rubber tree)
Lineage: Eukaryota; Viridiplantae; Streptophyta; Magnoliopsida; Malpighiales; Euphorbiaceae
Source: RNAcentral